AACUUCAUUACUGAGGCACACUAGCAGGAUCCAAAGCAGCAAUGACUUCUCCACUGCUCCCCAUCUUUCUCUUUCUCACAUUAUACAGUCAAGACUCCAAUUGUGAGAUUACGGUAAUUCAGACUCCAGCGGCAAAAUCAGUCUCUGUAGGAGACAACGUGGCCUUUACAUGUACAACCAGCACUGAUGUGAGUACGCUGUUAGACUGGUACCACCAGAGACCUGGAGAAGCUCCAAAGCUCCUGAUCUAUUUUGGAGAUCAACUUGCAGAUGACAUCCCAAGUCGCUUCAGUGGCAGCGGAUCAGAUACUGAAUACACACUGACUAUCACUGGAGUCCAGGCUGAGGAUGCAGGACAUUACUACUGUCUACAGCAUGAUGAGUUUCCUCUCACACAGUGACAGAGAGCCGUACAAAAACCUCUCUUAACAUCUGAACAGCUUGCAGGUGCUUUACAAAUAUACCAGAGUGACACUCAUUUAAAACUUUUCUUCUAUAUGAUGUUAGUGUUAGCUACAUGGCUAUUUACUCAAUUUAAACAGUUUGACUUUUCAUUUUUAUAGUGGGAUUAUGCUUCUAAAAACCUGAUACUUAAAGCUGCAUCCUAUAGUAUUACAUAGUUUGAUUUAAAUCACAUUCACAAUUACAUAAGGUGUGGCACGGUGUUUAUUGUUAAAGUCUUACUGCCUCUAGACUGUGGGUUCAUAACGUUUCCCUGAGUACACGUAACUUUUUCUCCAGAUACUCUGUUUUUUCUCCAACAUCCCACAGAUGUGUCUGGUAAGUCAU
This is a non-coding RNA of Polypterus senegalus (gray bichir), 789 nucleotides long. The record is from the annotation of a RefSeq genome assembly. Lineage: Eukaryota; Metazoa; Chordata; Cladistia; Polypteriformes; Polypteridae.